This 95-nucleotide microRNA precursor is filed under the name Canis lupus familiaris (dog). RNAcentral's name for it is "mir-8799 microRNA precursor family". It matches the Rfam family "mir-8799 microRNA precursor family". Lineage: Eukaryota; Metazoa; Chordata; Mammalia; Carnivora; Canidae. The record is from Rfam by way of RNAcentral.
GGGGGGAGCAACGGAUCCUGGGCUGUGUCCCCAGGUGCCCUGGAUUCCUGGGCCUGCGCUGCUGGAAUCACGCCCUGGGGGCCGCACAGCCCCCU